CUACAUGAGAGAGAAUGCCGGAAUGAGUAGCGAGAACUAUGUGAGAAUCAUAAUGGCCGAAAAUCUAAGGUUUCCUGAGGAAGGUUCGUCCGCUCAGGGUAAGCCGGGGGCUAAGGUGAGGCGGAAACGCGUAGCCGAUGCACAUACGGUAGAGAUUCCGUGGCCUCCGAAAAGUAAAGCACAGGGACGCUUCAGAAGUGUUACGCCGGGCGAUGGUAGCCCCGGUUGUAAAGGACACAAUUGAGUGGAAGGUAACAUGGAUGGAGACAAGAAAAGCUGUGUGUAACUGGAAGGAGCCCGUACCGCAAACCGACACAGGUAGAUAGGAAGAAGAUUCUAAGGCCAGCGGGAGAAGGGUUGUUAAGGAACUCGGCAAGUUGACCCCGUAACUUCGGGAGAAGGGGUGCUUACGAAGGUAAGCCGCAGAGAAUAGGCCCAAGCGACUGUUUAGCAAAAACACAGCUCUAUGCUAAAUCGAAAGAUGACGUAUAUGGGGUGACACCUGCCCGGUGCUGGAAGGUUAAGAGGAGAUGUGAGAGCAUUGAAUUGAAGCCCCAGUAAACGGCGGCCGUAACAAUAACGGUCCUAAGGUAGCGAAAUUCCUUGUCAGGUAAGUUCUGACCCGCACGAAUGGUGUAACGAUUUGGGCACUGUCUCAACAACCUACCCGGCGAAAUUGUAGUACCGGUGAAGAUGCCGGUUACCCGCGACUAGACGGAAAGACCCCAUGGAGCUUCACUGUAGCUUAAUAUUGAAUUUUGGUAUUUCAUGUACAGGAUAGGUGGGAGACUGGGAAAUACAGGCGUCAGCUUGUAUGGAGUCACUGUUGGGAUACCACUCUUGAGGUGCUGGAAUUCUAACCUGCGUCUUUGAAUCAAGACGGGGGACAUUGUUAGGUGGGCAGUUUGACUGGGGCGGUCGCCUCCAAAAGAGUAACGGAGGCGCUCAAAGGUUCGCUCAGCAUGGACGGAAACCAUGCCAAAGAGUGCAAACGCAAAAGCGAGCCUAACUGCGAGACUGACGGGUCGAGCAGUAACGAAAGUUGGAGUUAGUGAUCCGGCGGUAUGUGAGUGGAAAUGCCGUCGCUCAACGGAUAAAAGCUACCCUGGGGAUAACAGGCUGAUCUCCCCCAAGAGUCCACAUCGACGGGGAGGUUUGGCACCUCGAUGUCGGCUCAUCGCAUCCUGGGGCUGAAUUCGGUCCCAAGGGUUUGGCUGUUCGCCAAUUAAAGCGGUACGCGAGCUGGGUUCAGAACGUCGUGAGACAGUUCGGUCCCUAUCUGUCGUGGGCGUAGGAUAUUUGAAAGGAGCUGUCCCUAGUACGAGAGGACCGGGAUGGACGCACCUCUGGUGAACCAGUUGUCACGCCAGUGGCACGGCUGGGCAGCUAAGUGCGGAACGGAUAAACGCUGAAAGCAUCUAAGCGUGAAGCCGACCUUAAGAUAAGAUAUCCGCUCUUCGGAAUAAGACCCCUUGUAGACUACGAGGUUGAUAGGCUUAAGGUGUAAGCAUGGUGACAUGUUUAGCUUGCAAGUACUAAUCGGUCGAUUGCUUUU
RNAcentral lists this ribosomal RNA (1555 nucleotides) under metagenome. Its description in RNAcentral is "bacterial LSU rRNA". It matches the Rfam family "Bacterial large subunit ribosomal RNA", at positions 1280 to 2925 of the family's 2925-position model. The record is from RNAcentral.